Long non-coding RNA from Astatotilapia calliptera (eastern happy), 1154 nucleotides. The record is from Ensembl. NCBI's taxonomy places the organism in Eukaryota, Metazoa, Chordata, Actinopteri, Cichliformes, Cichlidae.
GUGGUGUGAACAGCGGUAUCACAUUACACAUCUAAAGUGGGCUUCAAUAGGCUACCAGUCAUUAGAAGGUGCUGAGCUACAACACGGCUAACACCAGCCCUACAAUAACCGCUGUGGUUAUGACUUUUCAGCGGUGGUUACCACAGCACUGCUGCAGAGUUAGACUAGCUCGAGCACUUUGGAGUGAAUUAAUGCCGACUUGUAACCAUUAGUGCUUUCCCUCACAAAUCUGUGGACCUGAAUAGUUAUUUGUGAGUGGUUAAUUUGAAGCAGACUUGUGACACGUGUCAUCUGAAAAAUUGCCUGUAACGUGAUGUAAGGUUUGAAUUUGACAAAAGUCCCCUGAAAACAUUCAACUUUAGAAUGAAACAUUUAUUUGCUACUGACUACAAUCUGCAAUUUAAUAUUUGAAUCUUCUCUGUUUCGUUUAAAUGUGUUUUUGCGCUUGUGACUGAAGAGUUUUUGUAUAUUCCUGCUGUCACUCAGGUGACUGUCUAUAUAUUUCUCUGUGUGAUGCAGGCUUUCAUUCCUCCUAUUCAUUUUUUUUUCUUUUUUUUAAUCAGCCAACAUCUGGUUUUAAUUAAGGGGCCAUAUGGAAGCCCCCAACUCAUGCACUCCUCCUCCACAGAAGAUGGAAAGUUACGCAUAUGUGCAGUCACAUUUAUACCUGAGAGGUGAAAGACUGUGAGUGAUGAACACUGUGACAGACAGAUCCAGACAGCGAGAAGAGAGAUGUUUUGGGGGAAGCGUUUCCUUAAUUUGGAUUAAGACUGCUCAGGCACAGGAAUACGAAUCGCUGAAGUUGAAUUUUUGAUGAUACAGUAAUCAAUAUGAAUGAAAAAAGACUUCAGAACGUGAUACUGUAUGUAAAUUGCUGUUGUCGACGCUCUUUAAAGUCUAGCUUUUGCGCGUCAUGCCUUCAUCCAGUGAAGCCAUGCUGUUGGUUUGAAUUGCUGGCAAGCAACAAAGUAACAUAUAAAGCUUCUCAUUUGAAACCGUCGGUUAUUAAGUUACUUUUCAAACAAGCAAUCUGCAAAGAAUACUUCACACAACAGCAACCGCAGGAUUUUAGCCCUCCUACAGCUAUCACUCUGAGUGAAUCUGAUGAGCUUGUUGCUGGGCAAAUGGUGGAGGAGAAACCCUGAGUAUUACUG